GCUUCGGUUUCGUUCCGGAGUUGUGAGGAUUCGUUCGACCACAUCCGUUUGUCUUCUUCAUGGACUCGUUCUUCUUCCUAGCGGGAUUUCAGGCAAGAUGACCAUACCCUCGAAAUCACUUCUAUCUUUGCUUGCUAGUUGUUCGCUCUAUUGCUAUGCCGUGUUACCUAUUCACUUGCUCUUCAAGCCUCCCAAAUUGCCAUGAACCUCUAACCUUUGUCACCUUCCUAGCAAACCGUUGUUUGGCUAUGUUACCGCUUUGCUCAGCCCCUCUUAUAGCGUUGCUAGCUGCAGGUGAAGAUGAAGAUUGCUCCAUGUUGGAUUAUGUUUAUGUUGGGAUAUCACAAUAUCUCUUAUUUAAUUAAUGCAUCUAUAUACUUGGUAAAGGGUGGAAGGCUCGGCCUUAUGCCUGGUGUUUUGUUCCACUCUUGCCGCCCUAGUUUCCGUCAUACCGGUGUUAUGUUCCUUGAUUUUGCGUUCCUUACGCGAUCGGGUGAUUUAUGGGACCCCCUCGACAGUUCGCCUUGAAUAAAACUCCUCCAGCAAGGCCCAACCUUGGUUUUACCAUUUGCCUACCUAAGCCUUUUUCCCUUGGGUUCUGCAAACUCAAGGGUCAUCUUUAUUUUAACCCCCCGGGCCAGUUCUCCUUCGAGUGCUGGUCCAAACCGAGCGAUGUCCGGCGCCCCCUGGGCAACCAAGGUCUAUGCCAACCCGACGACUGGCUCAUCCGGUGUGCCCUGAGAACGAGAUAUGUGCAGCUCCUAUCGGGAUUUGUCGGCACAGCGGGCGGCUUUGCUGGUCUUGUUUUACCAUUGUCGAAAUGUCUUGUAAACCGGGAUUCCGAGACUGAUCGGGUCUUCCCGGGAGAAGGUUUAUCCUUCGAUGACCGUGAGAGCUUAUAAUGGGCUAAGUUGGGACACCCCUGCAGGGGUUAAACUUUCGAGAGCCGUGCCCGCGGUUAUGUGGCAGAUGGGAAUUUGUUAAUAUCCGAUUGUAGAGAACUUGACACUUGACCUUAAUUAAAAUGCAUCAACCGCGUGUGUAGCCAUGAUGGUCUCUUCUCGGCGGAGUCCGGGAAGUGAACACGGUUCCUGGGUUAUGUUUGACGUAAGUAGGAGUUCAGGAUCACUUCUUGAUCAUUGCUAGUUCACGACCGUUCCGUUGCUUCUCUUCUUGCUCUUAUUUGCGUAUGUUAGCCACCAUAUAUGCUAGUGCUUGCUGCAGCUCCACCUCAUUACCUCAUCCUUUCCUUUAAGCUUAAAUAGUCUUGAUCUCGCGGGUGUGAGAUUGCUGAGUCCUCGUGACUCACAGAUACUUCCAAAACAGUUGCAGGUGCCGACGAUGCCAGUGCAGGUGACGCAACCAGCUCAAGUGGGAGCUCGACGGAGAUCUUGUUCGUUGUGUUGUUUCUUAUCAUGUUGAUCAGUAGUGGAGCCCAGUUGGGACGAUCGGGGAUCUAGCAGUUGGGUUAUCUUCUUUUCUUUUGGCUUUGACCGUAGUCGGUCUAUGUGUGUACUCUGAAUGAUGUAUGUUUUAUUUAUGUAUUGUGUGAAGUGGCGAUUGUAAGCCAACUCUUUAUCCCAUUCUUG
RNAcentral lists this long non-coding RNA (1589 nucleotides) under Triticum aestivum (bread wheat). Its description in RNAcentral is "long non-coding RNA (TAES_LNC018183)". Lineage: Eukaryota; Viridiplantae; Streptophyta; Magnoliopsida; Poales; Poaceae. The record is from RNAcentral.